This 204-nucleotide ribosomal RNA is filed under the name uncultured cyanobacterium. RNAcentral describes it as "partial 16S ribosomal RNA". It matches the Rfam family "Bacterial small subunit ribosomal RNA", at positions 288 to 524 of the family's 1533-position model. Lineage: Bacteria; Bacillati; Cyanobacteriota. The record is from RNAcentral.
CCGCGCGCGGCGGGCGGGGCGGGGGCNCCGGGGGCCUACGGGAGGCAGCAGUAGGGAAUUUUGCGCAAUGGACGAAAGUCUGACGCAGCAACACCGUGUGGACGAAGAAGCUUUUAGGAGUGUAAAGUCCUGUCAGUAGGGACGAAAUUUGACUGUACCUACAGAGGAAGCAUCGGCUAACUACGUGCCAGCAGCCGCGGUAAU